RNAcentral lists this microRNA (22 nucleotides) under Bos taurus (domestic cattle). RNAcentral describes it as "bta-miR-3596". The record is from miRBase by way of RNAcentral. Lineage: Eukaryota; Metazoa; Chordata; Mammalia; Artiodactyla; Bovidae.
AACCACACAACCUACUACCUCA